This is a long non-coding RNA of Oncorhynchus nerka (sockeye salmon), 234 nucleotides long. RefSeq lists it as uncharacterized. The record is from RefSeq and is a predicted model, not a curated record. The transcript has 2 exons. NCBI's taxonomy places the organism in Eukaryota, Metazoa, Chordata, Actinopteri, Salmoniformes, Salmonidae.
GGAGAACAUCAAGGGAACCACACAGACAGACAUACACCUUCAAUGUGAAGUGUUGUGUUUCCUAUAGAUGGUGGACAAGCUGAGAGAGCACCUCAACAGACACCUGCCUCGUCUGGGGAAGAAGAAGAUCGACGUGCUGGUGGUGAACUACGUGGCCAAGCUGCUGGAGCUGAUCAGACGCAUGCUGGAGUCUGUGUGGCUAAAGUACAAACUAGGCCCUCUGGUGCUGUGCUU